Mauremys reevesii (Reeves's turtle) is the source of this 363-nucleotide long non-coding RNA. RefSeq lists it as uncharacterized. NCBI's taxonomy places the organism in Eukaryota, Metazoa, Chordata, Testudines, Geoemydidae. The transcript is spliced from 3 exons. The record is from RefSeq and is a predicted model, not a curated record.
UUUCCCGCCUUUUUCCACCAACUCAGUGCACACUGUCUUAAGGAGGGAACUGUGCCUCUAACCUGUGGUGAUGUGAGAGCAUUUUCUGAAGGGUAAUGAUGGUAUCUUUACCUUCCAACCCAAAAGUAUACAAAGACUGUUUAUUCUUGGCCUGCUUUGCAGGUUACCUGCUUUGUCCUCACACACACUCAGGGAAUGACUCAGGAAGCUGGUCCGAGCUGCUUUGCCCCGUGCUAGGCCUCACUACUAUGCUGCACUCUCCUGAGGCACCUGUUUUGGUGUUAUUUGACCAUCUUCUUCCAAGAGAUUGAGGAUGAAUCGAAUGAAAUAACAAGAAGGGAACGUAAAACUCCAGUUGACAGC